This 555-nucleotide unclassified non-coding RNA is filed under the name uncultured fungus. RNAcentral describes it as "sequence contains 18S rRNA gene, ITS1, 5.8S rRNA gene, ITS2, 28S rRNA gene". Lineage: Eukaryota; Fungi. The record is from RNAcentral.
CCACCGUGUGGACAUACUGGUUGUCGCAGUCCACGAAAAGCAUCGUCGGGGAUGCCCACCCAAACGCAUUCCAUUCCCCCAAUUCCGUCGUGGCAUUCAGCCGGACAGCCGAGUCGCCUGACAGCGGCACCGUAUACACGCCCAUUCCGUGGCCAUGGUUUUCGUCCCCCAGCACCGAGACGUGGCUCGCGUCGGGGUACCAGUUCCAGUCGCGCAUGAUGCCGAGUCCCGCGAGGAACGUCUGCAGCACGGGUAGUGGCUGCUUGCCAUCCAGCCGUACCGUGUACAGCGGGGUGGGGUGCCCGCCCAGAUAGAGAUCGCUGGCAGCGAACAGGAUUCGCGAGCCAUCCGGCGCCCACCGCGGUCGCACGCCGAACGAGGUCAGCCGUCGCUCGGCUCCCCCGCCCGCCGGCACGGCGAACAGGCCGCCGCCCUCGCGAUCGGAGCGGAACACGAUCGUGUUGCCGUCCGGCGACCACGUCGGCUGCCGGUCGUGUGCCGGGGAUUUCGUGACCUGGCGAACGUCGCCCGUGUCGAUUGACUGCACCCAGAUAU